RNAcentral lists this ribosomal RNA (675 nucleotides) under uncultured Pseudomonadota bacterium. RNAcentral's name for it is "bacterial SSU rRNA". It matches the Rfam family "Bacterial small subunit ribosomal RNA", at positions 59 to 723 of the family's 1533-position model. Lineage: Bacteria; Pseudomonadati; Pseudomonadota. The record is from RNAcentral.
AAGUCGAACGGUAACAGGAAGAAGCUUGCUUCUUUGCUGACGAGUGGCGGACGGGUGAGUAAUGUCUGGGAAACUGCCUGAUGGAGGGGGAUAACUACUGGAAACGGUAGCUAAUACCGCAUAACGUCGCAAGACCAAAGAGGGGGACCUUCGGGCCUCUUGCCAUCGGAUGUGCCCAGAUGGGAUUAGCUAGUAGGUGGGGUAACGGCUCACCUAGGCGACGAUCCCUAGCUGGUCUGAGAGGAUGACCAGCCACACUGGAACUGAGACACGGUCCAGACUCCUACGGGAGGCAGCAGUGGGGAAUAUUGCACAAUGGGCGCAAGCCUGAUGCAGCCAUGCCGCGUGUAUGAAGAAGGCCUUCGGGUUGUAAAGUACUUUCAGCGGGGAGGAAGGGAGUAAAGUUAAUACCUUUGCUCAUUGACGUUACCCGCAGAAGAAGCACCGGCUAACUCCGUGCCAGCAGCCGCGGUAAUACGGAGGGUGCAAGCGUUAAUCGGAAUUACUGGGCGUAAAGCGCACGCAGGCGGUUUGUUAAGUCAGAUGUGAAAUCCCCGGGCUCAACCUGGGAACUGCAUCUGAUACUGGCAAGCUUGAGUCUCGUAGAGGGGGGUAGAAUUCCAGGUGUAGCGGUGAAAUGCGUAGAGAUCUGGAGGAAUACCGGUGGCGAAGGCG